Molecule: ribosomal RNA, 155 nt
Filed under: uncultured bacterium
Lineage: Bacteria
Description: partial 16S ribosomal RNA
Rfam family: Bacterial small subunit ribosomal RNA
Source: RNAcentral
UGGGGAAAAUUGCACAAUGGAGGAAACUCUGAUGCAGCGACGCCGCGUGAGUGAAGAAGGUCUUCGGAUCGUAAAACUCUGUCCUUGGUGAAGAAAAAAUGACGGUAGCCAAGGAGGAAGCCCCGGCUAACUACGUGCCAGCAGCCGCGGUAAUA